UUUGAAAGAAGAGAAAUAUGGCUCUGUUCAACCCGGCCCACUGGCAGCCAGAGUUUAAGGUUAUCUCCCUUGUUCCCUGAAAUUGCUGUUAUCCUGUUCUUUUUUCAAGGUGCCCAGGUUUCAUAUUGUUUAAACAACUUGUGCAGUUAACGCAAUUAUCACAGGGUCCUGCGGGGACAUUCAUCCUCAGCUUACGAAGAUGAGAUCACCACAGUCACUUUUAGAACCUUUCAUUACCCUAUAGAGAAAUCCAUACCCCUUAGCCACUACCUCCUACUCUCCCCACCUACCUUUG
Molecule: long non-coding RNA, 295 nt
Filed under: Homo sapiens (human)
Lineage: Eukaryota; Metazoa; Chordata; Mammalia; Primates; Hominidae
Description: non-protein coding lnc-OR4F16-15:2
Source: RNAcentral